RNAcentral lists this ribosomal RNA (508 nucleotides) under uncultured bacterium. RNAcentral's name for it is "partial 16S ribosomal RNA". It matches the Rfam family "Bacterial small subunit ribosomal RNA", at positions 28 to 523 of the family's 1533-position model. The record is from RNAcentral.
GAUGAACGCUAGCUACAGGCUUAACACAUGCAAGUCGAGGGGAAACGAUAUUGGAAGCUUGCUUCCGAUAGGCGUCGACCGGCGCACGGGUGAGUAACGCGUAUCCAACCUGCCCACCACUUGGGGAUAACCUUGCGAAAGUAAGACUAAUACCCAAUGACGUCUCUAGAAGACAUCUGAAAGAGAUUAAAGAUUUAUCGGUGAUGGGUGGGGAUGCGUCUGAUUAGCUUGUUGGCGGGGUAACGGCCCACCAAGGCUACGAUCAGUAGGGGUUCUGAGAGGAAGGUCCCCCACAUUGGAACUGAGACACGGUCCAAACUCCUACGGGAGGCAGCAGUGAGGAAUAUUGGUCAAUGGGCGAGAGCCUGAACCAGCCAAGUAGCGUGCAGGAUGACGGCCCUAUGGGUUGUAAACUGCUUUUAUAAGGGAAUAAGGUGAGUCUCGUGAGACUUUUUGCAUGUACCUUAUGAAUAAGGACCGGCUAAUUCCGUGCCAGCCGCCGCCGUAA